AGUUUUAUAUUCUAUAAUUAUAAGAAGUUAAGUUGCAAACUUAAAAUAAAUAAAUUUAAAUUUUAUUAAGACUU
RNAcentral lists this transfer RNA (74 nucleotides) under Hydropsyche angustipennis. RNAcentral describes it as "tRNA-Cys". The record is from RNAcentral. Lineage: Eukaryota; Metazoa; Arthropoda; Insecta; Trichoptera; Hydropsychidae.